UGGGGAAUUUUGGACAAUGGGCGAAAGCCUGAUCCAGCAAUGCCGCGUGUGUGAAGAAGGCCUUCGGGUUGUAAAGCACUUUUGUCCGGAAAGAAAUCCUUGGCUCUAAUACAGUCGGGGGAUGACGGUACCGGAAGAAUAAGCACCGGCUAACUACGUGCCAGCAGCCGCGGUAAUACGUAGGGUGCAAGCGUUAAUCGGAAUUACUGGGCGUAAAGCGUGCGCAGGCGGUUUGCUAAGACCGAUGUGAAAUCCCCGGGCUCAACCUGGGAACUGCAUUGGUGACUGGCAGGCUAGAGUAUGGCAGAGGGGGGUAGGAAUUCCACGUGUAGCAGUGAAAUGCGUAGAGAUGUGGAGGAAUACCGAUGGCGAAGGCAGCCCCCUGGGCCAAUACUGACGCUCAUGCACGAAAGCGUGGGGAGCAAACAGGAUUAGAUACCCUGGUAGUCCACGCCCUAAAACGAUGUCAACUAGUUGUUGGGGAUUCAUUUCCUUAGUAACGUAGCUAACGCGUGAAGUUGACCGCCUGGGGAGUACGGUCG
RNAcentral lists this ribosomal RNA (542 nucleotides) under uncultured bacterium. Its description in RNAcentral is "partial 16S ribosomal RNA". It matches the Rfam family "Bacterial small subunit ribosomal RNA", at positions 355 to 888 of the family's 1533-position model. The record is from RNAcentral.